CUGCUGUUGCCUAAAACAAAAACUGUGGGCUACUUCAAGAUUUGAUUGCAUAACAGCUUUCUUAUGUCUGGUCAGUUGACUGCUAGCUCUUGAUAUUUGUACUUUGGAAGGUGGAUGUGGUUGGCUCCUUUUUGUCACUGGAAAAUUAGAAAAAAUAGUAGCUGGGAUCAAAUGAACAGGGACCUGUUCAUAGUUGGGAAGUAGCCAAACCGAGGUUAAAACAAGUCUAGUGUGGAUGCUAUCACAGCCAAUAAACAAGAAGCUGGUUCCCACCUUGGUAAACAAGCCAAAAUUAACAUUAAGUUAAAAUAAGAGUGAAGGUAAGGGAACUAGGAUAUUAAAUUAAUUUAGGAAGUUGAAUUCAAGUCUGUAGAGGAGAACAGUUCAUUUCACAACUACUUCUGGUUCACUCCCACUAUUGUCAAAAGGAAGAUAAUGUAUUUGAGAGGCAGAGAAACCUGACACACUUGUAUUUCAUUACCUGUCCACUGCUGACAGAACAUAUGCAGUAUGGGUACAAGUAAUGGUUAACUUCAAAGCACUAAAAGCUGAUUGUCAAACAUGACCCAUCCUUUCUGCAUAUCAGUAGGCAGUUCCUGGAGCGUCCACUGGCCCAAGCCCAACUCAUCUGCGUUCCACCAGUCAUAGAGCAAUAAUUAUAAAGGGAAUAGAUAGUAUAAUCUCUCCCCAUCAUGUCCAUGAGCUUAAACAUGAGGCAAAAUCUUUCUGUGUUCACAAAGUCAGUAUUGUAUCUGCCAGUCAGUAACACCAUCCAGACUCAUGUAUGUCCAUUCCUCAAAAGCCUCCAGGUCUGGUUCCUAAUUUUCUAAUGUUACAUCUCAAAGCCCUCUCAACAUUGAGUGUUCAGCUUUUAACAAAAGCAACAGUAUUGCCUAUCUAUGCUAAUAUUAAUUUGCUUGGUGAUUGCGGGGAAAGAUUAAUGUGCAGAAUGACCUACAAAUGAGAAGUGUCUGAACAGCAUAGUCUGGACCUGGUGGCUUAUUCGUAUAAAUAAAUCAGAAGGAUCUGGCAGAGCACACAGGGUCCUUUGAGUGUUUCUAUAUAGCCUGUCUGAGCAGCAAGCCCUUAACCACACACUCAAACAACCUCUGGGAGCACUCAGUCAAUUUGGGCAACUAACAACCUGUCCUAAAACUGAGCCUUCAAGCAUUUGCCAUUCAAAAAAGGCUGCUAGCCAACUACGCCAAGAGUUCAUGGAAAUUCUCCUGCUUAUAAGAUGCCAUCUUUAGAACACCUUUUCUUUAUUUUCAGUUGUUAAGUAGACAAAGUGUUUUUUGGUUUUUUUGUUUUUUUUUUCCUUGCUUGUAGGGACUUUAAUCGGGCAAGUUUUAUGGGGCUAUUUCAAGAGAAGGCAUUUAAUUAAUUCCAGACCUUCCUCCUGCCCUGCUUUUGUUCAUCUACAUACCUGUCUGUAACAACUGAGGUAAAAAUCCUACGAGACUUCUAAGAAGCUUGGUUCAUCUUUCAUUAGAUCACAGCAGAACUGAACCAUAUUCUCUCACUGCUAGACAUUUUUUGAACUAGGCUUUUCCCAGUCUCACUGGGGUAUGUAUGUGAGCUGAAAGCUUCACAAUGCAUUAAGAUUUCAUGAGGGCCUAAUUCUGUUCUCUCAUAUACUUCCCUGAAUUUCCAGUGCUCAGUGCCUCUGCUUCAUCGUCGCUUAAGUGAGAAUACUUCUCAGAAGGGCUCCAAGAAGCCAAGCUCCAUUGAAUGGACCAUCCAAAAACUGAUGUUCUAGACAUGAAGUUUGUGAUUUUUAUCUUCAACAGACAAAAGGCUUUCCAGCUCUGGGAUUUACUCACAUGCAUCCUACCUGACAUGAGAUGAUGAACUGCAGUCACACAGUAAAGGAAUCUUCAUUCUGCAUUAAUACAAAAGGGCAUAUCUCAACCAAAACCAAUACAGUCUGCAUACGGCAAACCAGGUUUGGAUUUUACUUGAAGAUUUUGAAAACAUCAGCAUCUAUCAAAGAAGGUAUAGAUCUCUGAUUCUCUGUUGUAAGAACAAAGCGUUGUUAUGUACUGAAAAUAUAAACUCCCAAGUGAUAGAGAUUACAGUCUGGAGUCUACCAAUGCUUUUAAGCCUCUUCCAACAAGAAAUAAAAGAAGGCAAUUGUCAAGAAUCCAAACUACUGGAUACAAUUACAUCACCUGGAGCAUAGAGAUGUGAAGUUUUGAUGAUCUCAUUACCUAUUGGUAUCCAUUUGGAGUUACUCACAGUAAUACCUCACCAUGACAACUUCCUUUGUUGGCAGAAAUGAAAGUUUGGAGGAAAUUUCAUUUGAAUAUUAAUUAUUUCUUAAACGAAUUCACUUAAGAAAAGAGCUCUUACUCAUACUGAAUGGCACCCUUUGUAGUGCCUGCAGCUCUGGUGAAAGCUGAGACAUUUAAGCUCUGUCUCUGCUGAGAAGAGUGCUUCACAUGACAUGCCUUAAAGUCCUGUCUGUGCUAGCAUCUAGACCGGAGACCUAGCUGAAGCAUUCAGGCAUGUCUGCCUUGGAAACACAGGCAUCAAAGCGACAGGAAGAGGAAGCGCCUGGUUCUUACCCUGAUACGGAGUCAGGAUACAGUUAUAGUGUGCAACUGGUCCCGGCAAGAGCUUUACAGGGGUGUUACAAUAAAAUUAAGGACAGAAAGAGAGAAUCAUGAAGCCAUUUGAAGCUGCUGAGGAUUUACAAUAGCUGGGUUAUAUGAACUGGACUAGCACAGAAAUUUGUUAGAACACUGUAGAAAAUGCUCCAAGCUGACACAGGACUUGAAAAUUAUCAGGAACCUGCUGAAUUUGAAGGAACAGGAAAAAAGAAACUGCUGUCUCUUUACAUUUGCUUCUCCUGGAAAAGAGGUUGCACUCAGUGGCUAAAUCUGUCCUCUCAAGGGAGCACACAUUACUACUGCAGCAGCAGAGGUGGAGGCAGCCCAGACCCAGAAACUUCCUUCAAAUGAAUAUUUCCCAAUUGGGAAAAGCCCUGAAAACAUUAUAGACCGAGCUACAUUUUAUCCAUGGAGCUGAAGUGCGGAGACAAAGAAAGGAAUACAGUUUUGAAAAGUACAGAAUCUGAGCAGCAGCCCCAAAAUGGAAAAGAAAAUUUGAAGGUCACCUGCGUGCUCAAGCGAUGGCCAACGUACAGGAGGAUGGCGAUCAUCUGAGAGUCUACAGGCACUUGUGACAAACUAAUUUAUUCCACAUCAACAGGACUGAAGCCAAUUGAACAAAGAACCUCAGUAACAGCCUGACUUGACCAAACCUUGUCAAGAAGCAUUGAAUCUUGGGCACAAUGACAUUCUGCCUUGGAUACUGUAUAGCUGCGUGUUUGUGGAUUUCAAAAGUCAUAUGCAUCAGGGAAGUAAACUCUAAAAACUUCAGUCUUGCAAAAUUCAGGAGUUCUUAUACUGCAGACUACAGAUCAUGUAUCUUCUAAAGCCACUGUUUAACCGUUUUUAAGAUUCUCAUCAACUUUCAAAGCCUUUUGUUAGGAAGCUCUUCAGCUGACAGUAUCGUGGCUUCUGAAGGCAUCUCUCUGAAACACUGUCUGCAACAAGAACGAGAGAUGUCAGCAAAGGAAGCAGAGGGCUGGAUGUGGAACUAACUCCCUUUUGAAAGCACCAGAAUAGUUACAGAUCCUCCUGCUAUGAGACCACUUUUUGUCCAACAGACACAAGAGAAGUACAAUACUAUAAAUAUGAUAGACAAAUUCAGUGCUAACAGUAAGAUAUAAAUGUAGGGAAAAAAAAAGAUGUACCUUUGUGCAUAACUGCUGAAGUAUAUUAGAUACCAUGGAGGCCAGUUGGAUAUAGCUGCCUUAAGAGAGACCAUGGAUUAAGUUUUACCUGACAGUUUUAGAGCAGUGAAGAGAAAGAAGCUUUAAAACAGGACACGCACACCUCAGAAAAGAUUGUCAGAGCCAACAGUGAAAAAUGAGUGUAUGCAGAAAGCUUGGUUAAACUGAGCUUGCUACGAACUUUUUCAGACAACAAUGCCUCGCUUCUCCAGAAGCAUCUGCAGUAUUGCCAUCGUUACUACUGGUUACCAAUUGCCCAGGACUUUGUUAGUAGAAAAAGGAAUUAUUUUUACUCAGAACACUUUAUUCUUAUUGAGCGUCAAUAACUGAAGUGUUGCUGGGAGGGUCUCAUUGUCACCUGACUGUGCCUUUUCACAACCAGUGAGAUUACCAUCAGAAAUAAAGCUGCUCAGUCCAAGUAAUAUUCAGUAAUAAAUUGAUUAUGGACUUAACGCUAAUAUUUUACAGAAAAAUAAAUCAAUGGAGCAUCUACCAUUGCUCAAAGAGUCUCACAUUAGAAAGGCAUGCAAAAUAAUCACUAAAUGAUUACACAUGGCAACUGGGCAGGACUGUGUGAAAUCAAUUUUGUCACACAUAGGUAUUACAAAGCGCUUUACACACACCUUGAAAGCCACAGCUUGAAAAA
This is a long non-coding RNA of Gallus gallus (chicken), 4445 nucleotides long. RefSeq lists it as uncharacterized. The transcript has 6 exons. The record is from RefSeq and is a predicted model, not a curated record. Lineage: Eukaryota; Metazoa; Chordata; Aves; Galliformes; Phasianidae.